RNAcentral lists this transfer RNA (62 nucleotides) under Megalurothrips usitatus (bean blossom thrips). RNAcentral's name for it is "tRNA-Met". The record is from RNAcentral. Lineage: Eukaryota; Metazoa; Arthropoda; Insecta; Thysanoptera; Thripidae.
CUAAAAGUAAGUUAAUUAAAACUAUUGGAUUCAUACUCCAACCUUGAUUUUGUCCUUUUAGA